Ziziphus jujuba (common jujube) is the source of this 2089-nucleotide RNA transcript. It is a transcript of the gene named tryptophan--tRNA ligase, chloroplastic/mitochondrial, with no coding region annotated. The transcript is spliced from 16 exons. The record is from RefSeq and is a predicted model, not a curated record. NCBI's taxonomy places the organism in Eukaryota, Viridiplantae, Streptophyta, Magnoliopsida, Rosales, Rhamnaceae.
GAAUAUGUAUCUAUGUUGCCUAGCUCCCCGCCCAAGUGUGGGGGAUAAGUUAAACAUUAUAUUGCCGCAAACGCAGAGAAAGUGGAAGAAAAUGAGUCGCUCAGUCUUCUCUCACUUACUCACCCUCUCAAAUUCUUCUCCACGGCUCGCUUCGUCAACGUCGUGCUGUGGAUACGGAAGCAAGUACAGGAAAAAACCAGCUGCUUCAUUACCUCUGCGCAAGCAUGUAGGUGGACGGAAUAGCGAGGGCUUUCGAAGCAUUUGUAGCGUUUCGCUUGCCGAACCUGCAGUUUCAGAAAAUUCUUCGAAUUCUGUAAAGAAAAGGAUUGUGUCUGGAGUCCAGCCAACAGGAUCUGUCCAUUUGGGAAAUUAUCUUGGUGCAAUAAAAAAUUGGGUUUCACUUCAGAAUACUUAUGAUACUCUUUUUUUCAUCGUGGAUCUCCAUGCGAUUACAUUGCCAUAUGAUGCACAAAAAUUAUCAAAGGCAACAAGGGACACCGCAGCUAUUUAUUUGGCCUGUGGAGUGGACACCUCCAAGGCUUCUGUUUUUCUGCAAUCUCAUGUUAGAGCCCAUGUAGAGUUGAUGUGGUUAUUAAGUUGUGUAACACCUGUUGGUUGGCUUAACAGAAUGAUUCAGUUUAAAGAGAAAUCACGCAAGGCGGGAGAUGAAAAUGUUGGAGUUGCUCUUUUGACUUACCCUGUUCUGAUGGCUUCUGAUAUUCUGUUGUAUCAGUCUGACUUUGUCCCAGUUGGAGAGGAUCAGAAGCAGCACCUGGAGUUGACACGUGAGCUGGCUGAGCGUGUUAACAAUUUUUAUGGUGGAAGGAAGUGGAAGAAAUUAGGAGGGAGAGGAGGUGCUAUUUUUAAGGUUCCUGAGCCCCUUAUACCACCAGCUGGCGCCCGAGUGAUGUCACUCACUGAUGGUCUUUCCAAGAUGUCGAAGUCUGCCCCUUCUGAUCAGUCUCGGAUCAAUCUUCUUGAUCCAAAAGAUGUUAUAGCAAACAAGAUAAAGCGUUGCAAAACUGACUCGUUUCCUGGCCUAGAAUUUGACAAUCCUGAAAGACCGGAGUGCAACAAUCUUCUUUCAAUAUAUCAGCUCAUUUCAGGAAGGACAAAAGAGGAGGUUUCACAGGAGUGCCAAGAUAUGAACUGGGGCUCAUUUAAAUCCCUACUAACUGAUGCCUUGGUUGAUCAUCUGCAUCCCAUUCAGGUUCGUUAUGAGGAAAUAAUAUCUGAUUCAGCUUAUUUGGAUAGAAUUUUGGCUGAUGGAGCUGUCAAGGCUGCAGAUAUAGCAGAUGCUACUCUUAAUAAUGUCUACCAGGCAAUGGGAUUCUUGCGAAAAUGAGCAGAACCGAUGCUGCAGGAAGCAUUGAUGUGAGAAAGACCAUUAAGACAGUAACAUUAAACUUUUGGAGGAUCCAUCGUUGCCCACAAUUCUUGAGGCAUAACCAUAAGCACAUUCUUGAGGAGAGGAAAAGAUAAUUAUUGGGAGGCCCCACAAAUUCAUUGGUACAGCUUCCUUCAUCCAGAGAGAAAAUGCAGACGUCAGAGAAGACAUGAUGAGGAUCACUCUUGCUAACCUAGAAGCUCGUAUUCUUGCUCUUAUCAGAAAUUUAUAUAUAUUUUUUAAUUUCCUUCUUUUAAUCAAUGCCUUCUAAUUGAAAGCUAUAGAAUUGUUGAAGUGGACAAACUGUUAUUUAGUUGAUCCAUAUUAACUUGCCGCACUGAUAUUUUCAAAUUUUUUCUGGUCUUGGUUAUUGCCUGUUGAUCAGAAUCAUUUUGCAAGGUCGAGGGUAAGAAAUGGAAUUUAUGGUGAGCCUUCCGAGUUGUUACUGUUCAUUUGUCCUUUUCUGUUUGUACUCCCACUUAGCUAGGAAUCAAAUUCUCAUUUAAUUUGUUUUAUUUAUGGGGAAUCAUCAGCAUGCUGUUUUCCUAUUUUGAUUUAAAACUUAAAUUACCUACGUUGGUCAAAAUCCUCAAAGGAAUAUUAUAUUCUAUUUUUUGUACUCCAGAGCCCUGAAAACCCAUAGAAAAUAAAAUAACAAUAACAAUAAUAAUAAUAAUAAUAAUAAUAAUAAUGUCAAGUAAA